This 209-nucleotide long non-coding RNA is filed under the name Homo sapiens (human). Its description in RNAcentral is "HSALNT0101531". Lineage: Eukaryota; Metazoa; Chordata; Mammalia; Primates; Hominidae. The record is from RNAcentral.
GUCGGGGGUCUGGUUUGGAUCCCCGGGUUACUUUCUGUUUCAUUUUGAAAUGUUCCCUGUUUCUGCAACCGGUUGCCUCCAAUGUCAAGUAAAACGCAGGACUCCUUGGAGACGCCAGCUGGGCUUCUAAGGACUGGGGCUCUGUGAAGAUGAGAAGGCACGAGUGUCUGCGUGUUUUGGACAGAAGGGUCAAUUGAACUGGUUUAAGC